Molecule: ribosomal RNA, 749 nt
Filed under: Capnocytophaga ochracea
Lineage: Bacteria; Pseudomonadati; Bacteroidota; Flavobacteriia; Flavobacteriales; Flavobacteriaceae
Description: bacterial SSU rRNA
Rfam family: Bacterial small subunit ribosomal RNA
Source: RNAcentral
GAUGAACGCUAGCGGCAGGCCUAACACAUGCAAGUCGAGGGGGAGGUUACUUUCGGGUAACUGAGACCGGCGUACAGGUGCGUAACGCGUAUACAAUCUGCCUUUCACUGGGGGAUAGCCCGAAGAAAUUUGGAUUAAUACCCCAUAGUAUAUAGAGACGGCAUCGUUUUUAUAUUAAAGCUUAGGUGGUGAAAGAUGAGUAUGCGUUCUAUUAGCUAGUUGGAGAGGUAACGGCUCCCCAAGGCGAUGAUAGAUAGGGGUUCUGAGAGGGAUGUCCCCCACACUGGUACUGAGAUACGGACCAGACUCCUACGGGAGGCAGCAGUGAGGAAUAUUGGACAAUGGUCGGAAGACUGAUCCAGCCAUGCCGCGUGCAGGAUGAAGGUCUUAUGGAUUGUAAACUGCUUUUGUAAGGGAAGAAUAAGGAGUACGUGUACUUUGAUGACGGUACCUUACGAAUAAGCAUCGGCUAACUCCGUGCCAGCAGCCGCGGUAAUACGGAGGAUGCGAGCAUUAUCCGGAAUCAUUGGGUUUAAAGGGUCUGUAGGCGGGCUUGUAAGUCAGAGGUGAAAGCGCUUAGCUCAACUAAGCAACUGCCUUUGAAACUGUCAGUCUUGAAUGAUUGUGAAGUAGUUGGAAUGUGUAGUGUAGCGGUGAAAUGCUUAGAUAUUACACAGAACACCGAUAGCGAAGGCAUAUUACUAACAAUUUAUUGACGCUGAUGGACGAAAGCGUGGGGAGCGAACAGG